This 28-nucleotide non-coding RNA is filed under the name Homo sapiens (human). The record is from RNAcentral. Lineage: Eukaryota; Metazoa; Chordata; Mammalia; Primates; Hominidae.
UCACAGCCGAGGACAUUGAGAAGGCCCA